Long non-coding RNA from Helianthus annuus (common sunflower), 2091 nucleotides. RefSeq lists it as uncharacterized. The record is from RefSeq and is a predicted model, not a curated record. Lineage: Eukaryota; Viridiplantae; Streptophyta; Magnoliopsida; Asterales; Asteraceae. The transcript is spliced from 2 exons.
CAUUUAUAUAUCCAUUUAUUCCAAGCCAAACACACACAUGUAGAGAGAGAAAAUGGGAUAAACCGAGAGGCAGCGUGGCCAUCCCACCUUCUGCGAUGGCGGAGCCACGGCGGAGCGGUAGUGGAGUCACGACAGAGUUGUGGUGGAGUCAUGGUGGAGCUGUUGCGGCGCCCCUUGAUUCGAUUACAGUCGGUUACUGGUGAAGCUCAGGCCAAACGAUGAACGAAAACGGUCAGAAAUCGGAAUCGGAGGUUGAAUCUGCUUGGAUUCGGCUUCGUGCGCGUUGGGAGCUAGCGUCUGUUCUCAAUUUCUUGCAGUAUUGGAGAUGUUAUUCAAGUGGUAAACAUGUGUCGUAGACAAGCGGACAUGCUACCAUGGAAACAUUGCUUGGAUAGGAUCAUCGGCAAUCGAUACCAUAACAAAAAAGGAAAAAAAGAAGGUGUAUCUUUUACUAGCCCUUUAUCUUUUAUUAGAGGGGGCAAUCUUGACCCAAAGCCUUCCAAGUGGGUCAAUUUGGGUUACUUUUAAAAUUAUAUGGGUUGGUUUGGGUAAGAUAUUUUAACUAAAUGGGUCACAAUGGGUUACUUGAAAUUCCAUCUUGUUAUUUUCGGGUCAAAGCGGGUCGACAACAUUAAAGAAAUGGGUUGAUGUGGGUCAGUGUCUUAAAGAAACGGGGCAGGUUUCGGGUCGGGACGAGUUUCAUACCGUUUCGACCCGUACCGUUUCGACACGAACCGUUUCAACGCGUACCGUUUCGAGGCGAACCGUUCCGAAUUGAACCAUUUCGACCCGUACCGUUUCGAUGCGUAUCGUUUCGACGCGAACUGUUUAAACCCAUACAUUUUCGACCAAUACCGUUUCGACCGGUACCGUUUCGAUCAGUACCGUUUCGACGCGAACCGACCCGUACCAUUUCGACCAGUACCGUUUCGAAUCGAACUGUUUCGACACGAACCGUUUCGACCGGUACCGUUUCGAAUCGAACAGUUUCGACGCGUACCGUUUCAACGCGAACCGUUUCGACGCGUACCGUUUCGACGCGAACCGUUUCGACCGGUACCGUUUCGAAUCGAACCGUUUUGACGCGUACCGUUUCGACCGAACCGUUUCGACGCGUACCGUUUCGACGCGAACCGUUUCGACCCGUACCGUUUCGACCAGUACCGUUACAACCAGUACCGUGUCGACGCGAACCGUUUCGACCCGUACAAUUAUGUUUUGCAUAUACAUACAUACGCACAGGAUGCAACUGUACGCUUUCGUUUUCACCUUUGCUCACUUCAUAUUACAGAAACAAACAAACUUACACAGUUAUACAUAUGUCUAUAUCUAUAAAGAAACUUCACCUUCGCUCACUUCAUAUUACAGAAACAAACUUACACAUAUGUCUGUAUCUAUAAAGAAACAUAUGUAAUAAAUGCAAAACUUGGUACUGUAACAUUUGGUAUUUUGCACUUAUAUAAAUGCAAAACAUAAUUGUUGUGUUGCAAAAAAAAAAAAAAAAAAAAAAAAAAAAAAAACAUUUUUUUAACCGACCCGACCCGACCCGAAACCCGUUCUUACCCGAACCCGUUCCGACCCAAACCCGUUUCAACCCGAACCCGUUCCGACCCGAACCCGUUUUGACCCGAACCAAAACAACCCUUUUUUUUAAUUGACCUGUUUUGACCCGAACCCGUUUCAACCCGAAACCGUUUUGACCCAUGACCCGACCCGACCCGUUUGCCAGGUCUAUCUUUUAUUCAUUGUGCCAUCAAAAGAGAAAGCAGCACAGGUAUCCUUAUUUAAACUGAAGCUUGUUUAUAAUUGUUUAUUUACUAGAAACAGAAAUGCCGAUCCAUUGCGUUUAUGAACCAUUUGAUUUAUACUUUAUAGUCGUGUAACUACAUAACUAUUUGCAGGUACGCGCUGUGUGCAAGCCUUUAAAGGCGUUUGGAAUACAUACAGUGAGUCCACAUUCAGGGGCCUCCGUAGAUCAUCAGGGUCACGGGUAAUAUACAUGAACCUUUGUAAACUUAACUGCAGCAAACAAUGCAUGCAAAGUUGCAAAUAUGAUUCUUUUUUGGUUUUGGGAGUUGAUGUUUUAGUUUA